This 468-nucleotide ribosomal RNA is filed under the name uncultured bacterium. RNAcentral's name for it is "partial 16S ribosomal RNA". It matches the Rfam family "Bacterial small subunit ribosomal RNA", at positions 28 to 507 of the family's 1533-position model. The record is from RNAcentral.
GACGAACGCUGGCGGCGUGCUUAACACAUGCAAGUCGAACGGAAAGGCCCUGCUUUUGUGGGGUGCUCGAUUGGCGAACGGGUGAGUAACACGUGAGUAACCUGCCCUUGACUUUGGGAUAACUUCAGGAAACUGGGGCUAAUACCGGAUAGGAGCUCCUGCUGCAUGGUGGGGGUUGGAAAGUUUCGGCGGUUGGGGAUGGACUCGCGGCUUAUCAGCUUGUUGGUGGGGUAGUGGCUUACCAAGGCUUUGACGGGUAGCCGGCCUGAGAGGGUGACCGGCCACAUUGGGACUGAGAUACGGACCAGACUCCUACGGGAGGCAGCAGUGGGGAAUAUUGCACAAUGGGCGGAAGCCUGAUGCAGCAACGCCGCGUGCGGGAUGACGGCCUUCGGGUUGUAAACAGCUUUCGCAUGUGACGAAGAGUGAGUGACGGUAAUGGGUAAAGAAGCACCGGCUAACUACGUG